CCUACGGGGCGCAGCAGUGGGGAAUAUUGGACAAUGGGCGAAAGCCUGAUCCAGCCAUGCCGCGUGUGUGAAGAAGGCCUUCGGGUUGUGAAGCACUUUCAGUGGGGAAGAAAGCCUUGGGGCUAAUACCCUCGAGGAAGGACAUCACCCACAGAAGAAGCACCGGCUAACUCCGUGCCAGCAGCCGCGGUAAUACGGAGGGUGCGAGCGUUAAUCGGAAUUACUGGGCGUAAAGCGCGCGUAGGCGGUCUGAUAAGCCGGUUGUGAAAGCCCCGGGCUCAACCUGGGAACGGCAUCCGGAACUGUCAGGCUAGAGUGCAGGAGAGGAAGGUAGAAUUCCCGGUGUAGCGGUGAAAUGCGUAGAGAUCGGGAGGAAUACCAGUGGCGAAGGCGGCCUUCUGGACUGACACUGACGCUGAGGUGCGAAAGCGUGGGUAGCAAACAGGAUUAGAUACCCUUGUAGUC
This 465-nucleotide ribosomal RNA is filed under the name Vreelandella stevensii. RNAcentral's name for it is "partial 16S ribosomal RNA". It matches the Rfam family "Bacterial small subunit ribosomal RNA", at positions 338 to 795 of the family's 1533-position model. The record is from RNAcentral. Lineage: Bacteria; Pseudomonadati; Pseudomonadota; Gammaproteobacteria; Oceanospirillales; Halomonadaceae.